GGGCCUGUAGCUCAGUUGGUAGAGCGUGUCGUUCGCAACGACGAGGUCGCCGGUUCGAGCCCGGCCAGGUCCA
This 73-nucleotide transfer RNA is filed under the name Candidatus Omnitrophota bacterium. RNAcentral's name for it is "Candidatus Omnitrophica bacterium (groundwater metagenome) tRNA-Ala". It matches the Rfam family "tRNA". From Rfam's summary of the family: Transfer RNA (tRNA) molecules are approximately 80 nucleotides in length. Their secondary structure includes four short double-helical elements and three loops (D, anti-codon, and T loops). The record is from RNAcentral. Lineage: Bacteria; Pseudomonadati; Candidatus Omnitrophota.